AGAGUUUGAUCCUGGCUCAGGACGAACGCUGGCGGCGUGCCUAACACAUGCAAGUCGAACGAAGCUGCGUGAAUAGAGGUUUCGGCCAAUUGAAACGUAGACUUAGUGGCGGACGGGUGAGUAAUGCGUGAGCAACCUGCCCUUCAGAGGGGGACAACAGCUGGAAACGGCUGCUAAUACCGCAUGAUGUGCGUUGGAGGCAUCUCCGAUGUACCAAAGAUUUAUCGCUGAAGGAUGGGCUCACGUCUGAUUAGCUAGUUGGUGAGGUAACGGCUCACCAAGGCUGCGAUCAGUAGCCGAACUGAGAGGUUGAACGGCCACAUUGGGACUGAGAUACGGCCCAGACUCCUACGGGAGGCAGCAGUGGGGAAUAUUGGGCAAUGGGCGCAAGCCUGACCCAGCAACGCCGCGUGAAGGAAGAAGGCUUUCGGGUUGUAAACUUCUUUUAUGAGGGACGAAGGACGUGACGGUACCUCAUGAAUAAGCCACGGCUAACUACGUGCCAGCAGCCGCGGUAAUACGUAGGUGGCGAGCGUUGUCCGGAUUUACUGGGUGUAAAGGGCGCGUAGGCGGGUAGGCAAGUCAGAUGUGAAAUCUCCGGGCUCAACCCGGAAACUGCAUUUGAAACUGUCUAUCUUGAGUAUCGGAGAGGCAAGCGGAAUUCCGUGUGUAGCGGUGAAAUGCGUAGAUAUACGGAGGAACACCAGUGGCGAAGGCGACUUACUGGGCCGUAACUGACGCUGAGGCGCGAAAGCGUGGGGAGCGAACAGGAUUAGAUACCCUGGUAGUCCACGCUGUAAACGAUGAAUGCUAGGUGUAGUGGGUAUCGACCCCUGCUGUGCCGGAGUAAACACAAUAAGCAUUCCGCCUGGGGAGUACGGCCGCAAGGUUGAAACUCAAAGGAAUUGACGGGGGCCCGCACAAGCAGCGGAGCACGUUGUUUAAUUCGAAGCAACGCGAAGAACCUUACCAGGUCUUGACAUCCAGGUAAAGCCUAAGAGAUUAGGUGUGUGCUUGCACAAUCUGAGACAGGUGGUGCAUGGUUGUCGUCAGCUCGUGUCGUGAGAUGUUGGGUUAAGUCCCGCAACGAGCGCAACCCUUAUGGUCAGUUACUAACGUGUGGAGGCGAGGACUCUGACAAGACUGCCGGGGACAACUCGGAGGAAGGUGGGGAUGACGUCAAAUCAUCAUGCCCCUUAUGAUUUGGGCUACACACGUGCUACAAUGGCGUAAACAAAGGGAAGCGAACCUGCGAGGGGGAGCGAAACCCAAAAAUAACGUCCCAGUUCGGACUGCAGUCUGCAACCCGACUGCACGAAGCUGGAAUCGCUAGUAAUCGCGGAUCAGAAUGCCGCGGUGAAUACGUUCCCGGGUCUUGUACUCACCGCCCGUCA
Molecule: ribosomal RNA, 1394 nt
Filed under: uncultured bacterium
Lineage: Bacteria
Description: bacterial SSU rRNA
Rfam family: Bacterial small subunit ribosomal RNA
Source: RNAcentral